Molecule: ribosomal RNA, 938 nt
Filed under: uncultured bacterium
Lineage: Bacteria
Description: bacterial SSU rRNA
Rfam family: Bacterial small subunit ribosomal RNA
Source: RNAcentral
ACACAUGCAAGUCGAGGGGAAACGACAUCGAAAGCUUGCUUUUGAUGGGCGUCGACCGGCGCACGGGUGAGUAACGCGUAUCCAACCUGCCCACCACUUGGGGAUAACCUUGCGAAAGUAAGACUAAUACCCAAUGAUAUCUCUAGAAGACAUCUGAAAGAGAUUAAAGAUUUACCGGUGAUGGAUGGGGAUGCGUCUGAUUAGCUUGUUGGCGGGGUAACGGCCCACCAAGGCAACGAUCAGUAGGGGUUCUGAGAGGAAGGUCCCCCACAUUGGAACUGAGACACGGUCCAAACUCCCACGGGAGGCAGCAGUGAGGAAUAUUGGUCAAUGGACGAGAGUCUGAACCAGCCAAGUAGCGUGCAGGAUGACGGCCCUAUGGGUUGUAAACUGCUUUUAUAAGGGAAUAAAGUGAGUCUCGUGAGACUUUUUGCAUGUACCUUAUGAAUAAGGACCGGCUAAUUCCGUGCCAGCAGCCGCGGUAAUACGGAAGGUCCGGGCGUUAUCCGGAUUUAUUGGGUUUAAAGGGAGCGUAGGCCGGAGAUUAAGCGUGUUGUGAAAUGUAGAUGCUCAACAUCUGCACUGCAGCGCGAACUGGUUUCCUUGAGUACGCACAAAGUGGGCGGAAUUCGUGGUGUAGCGGUGAAAUGCUUAGAUAUCACGAAGAACUCCGAUUGCGAAGGCAGCUCACUGGAGCGCAACUGACGCUGAAGCUCGAAAGUGCGGGUAUCGAACAGGAUUAGAUACCCUGGUAGUCCGCACGGUAAACGAUGGAUGCCCGCUGUUGGUCUGAAUAGGUCAGCGGCCAAGCGAAAGCAUUAAGCAUCCCACCUGGGGAGUACGCCGGCAACGGUGAAACUCAAAGGAAUUGACGGGGGCCCGCACAAGCGGAGGAACAUGUGGUUUAAUUCGAUGAUACGCGAGGAACCUUACCCGGG